AACAAAGUGGCUGCAAAA
Molecule: small nuclear RNA, 18 nt
Filed under: Arabidopsis thaliana (thale cress)
Lineage: Eukaryota; Viridiplantae; Streptophyta; Magnoliopsida; Brassicales; Brassicaceae
Description: snRNA_18066
Source: RNAcentral